RNAcentral lists this ribosomal RNA (739 nucleotides) under Streptomyces sp. Its description in RNAcentral is "bacterial SSU rRNA". It matches the Rfam family "Bacterial small subunit ribosomal RNA", at positions 89 to 840 of the family's 1533-position model. The record is from RNAcentral. Lineage: Bacteria; Bacillati; Actinomycetota; Actinomycetes; Kitasatosporales; Streptomycetaceae.
GGAUCAGUGGCGAACGGGUGAGUAACACGUGGGCAAUCUGCCCUGCACUCUGGGACAAGCCCUGGAAACGGGGUCUAAUACCGGAUAUUACCUUCCUCUGCAUGGGGGUUGGUGGAAAGCUCCGGCGGUGCAGGAUGAGCCCGCGGCCUAUCAGCUUGUUGGUGGGGUAAUGGCCUACCAAGGCGACGACGGGUAGCCGGCCUGAGAGGGCGACCGGCCACACUGGGACUGAGACACGGCCCAGACUCCUACGGGAGGCAGCAGUGGGGAAUAUUGCACAAUGGGCGAAAGCCUGAUGCAGCGACGCCGCGUGAGGGAUGACGGCCUUCGGGUUGUAAACCUCUUUCAGCAGGGAAGAAGCGAAAGUGACGGUACCUGCAGAAGAAGCACCGGCUAACUACGUGCCAGCAGCCGCGGUAAUACGUAGGGUGCGAGCGUUGUCCGGAAUUAUUGGGCGUAAAGAGCUCGUAGGCGGCCUGUUGCGUCGGUUGUGAAAGCCCGGGGCUUAACCCCGGGUCUGCAGUCGAUACGGGCAGGCUAGAGUUCGGUAGGGGAGAUCGGAAUUCCUGGUGUAGCGGUGAAAUGCGCAGAUAUCAGGAGGAACACCGGUGGCGAAGGCGGAUCUCUGGGCCGAUACUGACGCUGAGGAGCGAAAGCGUGGGGAGCGAACAGGAUUAGAUACCCUGGUAGUCCACGCCGUAAACGUUGGGAACUAGGUGUGGGCGACAUUCCACGUCGU